GACGAACGCUGGCGGCGUGCUUAACACAUGCAAGUCGAACGGAAAGGCCCUGCUUUUGUGGGGUGCUCGAGUGGCGAACGGGUGAGUAACACGUGAGUAACCUGCCCUUGACUUUGGGAUAACUUCAGGAAACUGGGGCUAAUACCGCAUAGGAGCUCCUGCUGCAUGGUGGGGGUUGGAAAGUUUCGGCGGUUGGGGAUGGACUCGCGGCUUAUCAGCUUGUUGGUGGGGUAGUGGCUUACCAAGGCUUUGACGGGUAGCCGGCCUGAGAGGGUGAACGGCCACAAUGGGACUGCGAUACGGCCCAGACUCCAACGGGCGGCAGCAGUGGGGAAUAUUGCACAAUGGGCGGAAGCCUGAUGCAGCAACGCCGCGUGCGGGAUGACGGCCUUCGGGUUGUAAACCGCUUUCGCCUGUGACGAAGCGUGAGUGACGGUAAUGGGUAAAGAAGCACCGGCUAACUACGUG
This 468-nucleotide ribosomal RNA is filed under the name uncultured bacterium. RNAcentral describes it as "partial 16S ribosomal RNA". It matches the Rfam family "Bacterial small subunit ribosomal RNA", at positions 28 to 507 of the family's 1533-position model. The record is from RNAcentral.